GAUGAUUCUAGUACGUUCUAGGAAGACUGCUGAGGAGAGAUUCAACGGCGGCAGAGAACAUAACCCUGCAAGGCCGCGGCUACAAGAUUCAUCUCCGACGAUGACGGAAGAUGACGCCGAGGAAGACGCCCAGAACAGAUUGUACCCACCGCACCCUCUUGCCCGGCUUCCUUCAGCUCCCAGGAAGAAGCUGAAGCCCUGGAAUUGGCUGUGCCCUGAUGCGGGGUCGGCUAUGACAGCGUCCCGCCGUUCUUCAGAGAUUGUUGUACUCCAGGCUGCAAUAUAAACCAUUGGGGAGCUUUGAAGGAGAAUAGAAAUAAAAGAUACCAUCAAAGGAAUGUACGAGAGGAA
RNAcentral lists this long non-coding RNA (351 nucleotides) under Monodelphis domestica (gray short-tailed opossum). RNAcentral describes it as "lncRNA (ENSMODG00000033575.2)". The record is from RNAcentral. Lineage: Eukaryota; Metazoa; Chordata; Mammalia; Didelphimorphia; Didelphidae.